AUACGUAGGGUGCAAGCGUUAAUCGGAAUUACUGGGCGUAAAGCGCGCGCAGGUGGUCCUUUAAGUCUGAUGUGAAAGCCCACGGCUCAACCGUGGAGGUGCAUUGGAAACUGGGGGACUUGAGUGCAGAAGAGGAUAGUGGAAUUCCAAGUGUAGCGGUGCAAUGCGUAGAGAUUUGGAGGAACACCAGUGGCGAAGGCGACUGUCUGGUCUGUAACUGACACCGAGGCGCGAAAGCGUGGGGAGCAAACAGGAUUAGAUACCCUGGUAGUCCACGCCGUAAACGAUGAGUGCUAAGUGUUGGGGGGUUUCCGCCCCUCAGUGCUGCAGCUAACGCAUUAAGCACUCCGCCUGGGGAGUACGGUCGCAAGACUGAAACUCAAAGGAAUUGACGGGG
RNAcentral lists this ribosomal RNA (397 nucleotides) under uncultured bacterium. Its description in RNAcentral is "partial 16S ribosomal RNA". It matches the Rfam family "Bacterial small subunit ribosomal RNA", at positions 523 to 918 of the family's 1533-position model. The record is from RNAcentral.